AGAAGCUUCCAGGAACUCCCGGGUCGGCGACCCAGCCCGAGCCGCCUGGGGCCCCAAGGGAAGCUGAACGCCCUGUGGGCUCCUGGGAUGGUUCUUCCCGUUCUUUGCGCCGCCUUCACCCAUUGAAGAGCCUGUGCCCACCCUGCCCAGUCGCUCUCGGGGCCGCGGAGGAGCUUCCGCUGCCAUCUUCGGAUCCUGUGUUCCGCACGGGGGCUCCACCAGGGCAGGGAUGGUGCAGAAUGGGGAAAUGGAGAGAGAACCUGAAAGAGCCCCAAACUCGAGGACCUAUUGCUCCCCAAGAAUAACAUCUUCCAGAAGAACUAGACAGAAAACUAGGCGUCUGGGAACUCUGAAAUCCUUGGAGGAGUAGCAUCAUCAUGACCCUCUGUGUUCCUUUUGGCAAAGGACUUGCUCCCAUUGUUUGCUUGUUCCAUUGUCUGUCUGUUAAAUAAAUAAAACCCUUUUCAUAUAUCUUUAAACUUA
RNAcentral lists this long non-coding RNA (483 nucleotides) under Homo sapiens (human). RNAcentral describes it as "non-protein coding lnc-MFAP2-53:13". The record is from RNAcentral. Lineage: Eukaryota; Metazoa; Chordata; Mammalia; Primates; Hominidae.